GGCCGUGUGGCUCAAUGGCAGAGCGUCUGACUACGAUUCAUCAGUGGUACUGAGGAACACUCGCAAUCAGAAGGUCGCAGGUUCGACCCCUGUCUCGGUCA
Non-coding RNA from Claviceps citrina, 101 nucleotides. NCBI's taxonomy places the organism in Eukaryota, Fungi, Ascomycota, Sordariomycetes, Hypocreales, Clavicipitaceae. The record is from the annotation of a GenBank genome assembly.